CUAUCGCGGAUCGUGGAGACACUUUCCUUCAGUUCGGCUGGAUAGGUGACAGGUGCUGCAUGGCUGUCGUCAGCUCGUGUCGUGAGAUGUUGGGUUAAGUCCCGCAACGAGCGCAACCCUCGCCUUUAGUUGCCAGCAUUUAGUUGGGUACUCUAAAGGAACCGCCGGUGAUAAGCCGGAGGAAGGUGGGGAUGACGUCAAGUCCUCAUGGCCCUUACGCGUUGGGCUACACACGUGCUACAAUGGCGACUACAGUGGGCAGCCACCUCGCGAGAGGGAGCUAAUCUCCAAAAGUCGUCUCAGUUCGGAUCGUUCUCUGCAACUCGAGAGCGUGAAGGCGGAAUCGCUAGUAAUCGCGGAUCAGCAUGCCGCGGUGAAUACGUUCCCAGGCCUUGUACACACCGCCCGUCACACCAUGGGAGUUGGAUUCACUCGAAGGCGUUGAGCUAACCGUAAGGAGGCAGGCGACCACAGUGGGUUUAGCGACUGGGGUGAAGUCG
RNAcentral lists this ribosomal RNA (500 nucleotides) under uncultured Sphingomonas sp. Its description in RNAcentral is "bacterial SSU rRNA". It matches the Rfam family "Bacterial small subunit ribosomal RNA", at positions 990 to 1488 of the family's 1533-position model. Lineage: Bacteria; Pseudomonadati; Pseudomonadota; Alphaproteobacteria; Sphingomonadales; Sphingomonadaceae. The record is from RNAcentral.